Molecule: ribosomal RNA, 429 nt
Filed under: Gemmatimonadota bacterium
Lineage: Bacteria; Pseudomonadati; Gemmatimonadota
Description: Gemmatimonadetes bacterium partial 16S ribosomal RNA
Rfam family: Bacterial small subunit ribosomal RNA
Source: RNAcentral
UAGGGAAUCUUCGGCAAUGGACGAAAGUCUGACCGAGCAACGCCGCGUGAGUGAAGAAGGUUUUCGGAUCGUAAAACUCUGUUGUUAGAGAAGAACAAUGACGUUAGUAACUGAACGUCCCCUGACGGUAUCUAACCAGAAAGCCACGGCUAACUACGUGCCAGCAGCCGCGGUAAUACGUAGGUGGCAAGCGUUGUCCGGAUUUAUUGGGCGUAAAGCGAGCGCAGGCGGUUUCUUAAGUCUGAUGUGAAAGCCCCCGGCUCAACCGGGGAGGGUCAUUGGAAACUGGGAGACUUGAGUGCAGAAGAGGAGAGUGGAAUUCCGUGUGUAGCGGUGAAAUGCGUAGAUAUAUGGAGGAACACCAGUGGCGAAGGCGGCUCUCUGGUCUGUAACUGACGCUGAGGAUCGAAAGCGUGGGGAGCAAACAGG